Molecule: long non-coding RNA, 261 nt
Filed under: Mytilus galloprovincialis (Mediterranean mussel)
Lineage: Eukaryota; Metazoa; Mollusca; Bivalvia; Mytilida; Mytilidae
Source: RNAcentral
GGCCCUAGAUCUCUAGCUUACGUUCUCACCUAGAGCAGAUAAAAGUAUUGCCGCAGAAUUUUUUUAUUAACUGUCUGGUAAGGGUUUUUGUAGGGUAUACGACCUCAACUUUAGACCUACUUUAGAAAAAAAAAAACUAAGCAGAACAACACCCUGGAUUUUUCUACUGUAGACCCCAGCUACCCAGCUUCCCUUUGCACCUAGUGAGGACAAUUUUUAUUACAUUUUCGGUAAGGAUGGGGUUCGGUGUUCGACCCCAAC